CCGCCGCCUCGCGUAGUUCACCUUCCAUGGUGUGGCCGGGCGUCAACCUCUUCCCCAUCCCUGCUUCUCGGCGUUGGCGACUACGGCCGCCGCUGCGCUGCCCGAGUAGCCGCCUCUGUGCUACGCGGGUGGCCGCCCCAUCCUCCAGCCCUGCAAAUCCCCGUUGCCGAUCUCCACCGGUGUGACCUUGCGCCUCCUCCAGCCCUUUCUCACGCACGCCCUCCCCAUCCCCAAUCGACCUCCGCCGUCUCCUCCCCCACGGCCAUCAUUCAGCGCACGAGAAGCGGCGCCCGAGCUCCAUACCCUCCACCACUGACUCUCUUCGUUGCACGGCGGCAGACCGGGGGCCUUCAUGCCGCUCCCUCCCACCGGCGCUUAAUAGAGCACUGUCAUGUUUAUUGGUUGAGAAAGAAGAUGCGUGUGAAGGCGUUAUUGGCCAUGUCCACUUGGGCAGCAGUAUGAGGAGUGAGGUUGUUUGAUGAAAAGGAGAGUGGGGCGCAGGAGAAGUUUGAUCUAUUACCUUAUAUGAUGUCUAGCAUAUGGGAUUUUGUAAUCUUGUUCUGCUUGUGAUUGUUGCAGGUUCUUUUCCCAGACAUAAACGCCUAUGAGGUCGGCCUGGGCACAGAAGAGAAGCACUCUUCUGCCGAGAGUCACAUCUUUUGCCCGCUGUCAUCUGAGCCUACUUCUAAAUUUCCGUAUCAUGUGCAUAUGCUCCAAAUACCUUGUCUCAAUUGUGCAAGAUAUUCCUAGCUCCAGAUUCGUUAUCCGUCUUUUGAUAAUCGCAGGGCAGCGAGUUGAUGAGUUUUGGUAGAGGGUGUUUCUUUUCUUGCCAUAAUCAGGGAGCACAUUGAAUUAAAUUUAUUCAACCUGGUGCAUCUUUUUUAUGUAGUAUAAUGGCACACUGGAAUUGGAAGUGUGACUAAAUUAAUUGGAAAGAUAUGUUGGAAGUGAAUGGUUGGUUUGUCUAACUAGGGAGUGAGAUCAGGAAGUUCGGACUGGGAGGAAGAGAUACGGUAGCAUCUGUUUGAGCAUGUCUUUCAGUUACAUGUUGUUUUGGCUGUAAUCUUGGCAGUAAUUUAUAUAAAAAUUCUUUCGCAUGCAAAAUAGAUGGGCACGGAACAGUUUGUUACCUUCAUGUGGGUGUAAGUGGUCCAUAUGGAUCUUGAAUACAUCAUACCAUGCACAGAUUAUAGUUGUGCACUUUCUGGCUAUUUGAGUACUAUUAGAUCACUCAGCACAGUUGCUGAAAAUCUGUAGUGUGAUAUUAAUUUAUGCUUGGAACAUUGCUAUUUCAGUGGUUCUUUUGUAAGCACAUAGAUGCACUCUUACCUAUUACAUCAGUGAACAAAAUAUGUGACAAGGAUGAGUCUCCGGAAACAAGCGAUGUCCAUCUAUUGUAAUGGCCAGCCAAGAGACACAUGUAAGCUAACAGUUGUCGUCGUUCUAUUCCCUAGAGUUCAAGCUAAACACCGAACUCGCUGCCAUCGUUGGGAAGCACAACAGAGGUUGCAGGCUGUUGCAGUGAUACAUUCCAACUACCAGACUUUGUCACCAAAAAGGGAACUCAAAUCUUUCAACACUACCUUUCUGGUGCUGCAGAAAUGACUGUUUAUUCAAAGGAACCUAUCCUCGAGGAGUUGAUGCAAAGAAGAGUAUAUGAUGACCUGCAGGCCUGGAUAGCAAGAUAUAGGUUAUUUAAACAGAAGAUGGAGACAUCCCCAAGGUCCCAACAGUACAGCCAGGGCAUGUGAGUUUAGUUUGGGUAAACUAACACACUGGGAUCUUCAUUGUUGAGGAUGUAUUUUGCCAUCCUAUGAUGUGCUUUUGUUGUUCUGCAUCCGCAUCUAUGCCCUAUACAUAUUUGCUUGAUUAUUUGUUGAAAUAAAAUUAUGCUACAUUCUUAUUAGUGAGGAUGAAGAAAACACUUCAUUUGUAGCCUGUGACAAAAGUAACCCUGAAGAAGAAAACUGCAAUGUUCUUUUAUUGUGCAAAUUGGUUUGCACGAUAGUGAUUUGUCACCAAUAGGAUGGACACUAAUUUAGAGUUUAGGCGCUCAUGUAUGCACUACUUGCUAACCUUGCUAAGCAGCAUCAAAAAUAAUUUUUUGGUAGCAAUCCAAACAUGCACAGCUAAGUAUUCAGUUCUUAAUUUACCAUAUAGUUUCUGUUAGUUUGAUCAUCCUAAAUGUAAUGUUCUGUGUAUGGCAUAACUAAGUGGUUCUCUAUUUCAGAAAAAUAAGUUUCAAAGGCCACCAUUGUUGCUUUUGUUGAAUUUUUAUGUCGAGUUUUCUCCUGUGUAAGAUAUUACAUAUUCAUAUAUCCUUCAAACAUUUGCCAAUGCUGUUCUAAAGUAUAUAACCCAUAGGUCAUGUUUUGUAUGAUGUUUCUAUUAUUCAUUUCAGCAACACUUGGGUCGCUGCUUAUGCUGAAGUAUGUUUCCGCUAUCGUUGGGUCGCCGCUGCUGCUGGAGUACAGGUUGCCAGCCUUUAUCUUGGCAUAAGGAUUAAGCCAUGGUUGUCGUUGAGAUUCCAUCCAGACUCCUGAUCAUGGCAGCUUCCAGAUCCGUUGUAUAACACUACACCCACGAAGUGUGAAGUGAGGGUGACCUUCCUCUAUUGGUAAAUGUUAUGUCAUAUACAUCAAUCUAUUGGAGAAGUCUGGCUAUCUGAUGAGCAAACAAUGUAUAGGCUAUUGACUACUGUAUACAGUCAACAACCUGUAGUAAGACAUGUUGUACUGAUGACCAUUUACAUAGUGUUUCACCCAUCGGAUAGUUUUUGUUAUUUAAUGUUUGAUUACCGGGUCUGUGAGCCUCAGAAUAUUCCUCUAUUUUUAUGAUUAUAAAUAAGCGUGUGCUACUCUAUUUAUGAUUUCAUGGGCUUUAUCCUAA
Long non-coding RNA from Lolium rigidum, 2889 nucleotides. RefSeq lists it as uncharacterized. Lineage: Eukaryota; Viridiplantae; Streptophyta; Magnoliopsida; Poales; Poaceae. The transcript is spliced from 9 exons. The record is from RefSeq and is a predicted model, not a curated record.